Molecule: long non-coding RNA, 96 nt
Organism: Hippocampus comes (tiger tail seahorse)
Lineage: Eukaryota; Metazoa; Chordata; Actinopteri; Syngnathiformes; Syngnathidae
Exons: 3
Source: RefSeq, a predicted model, not a curated record
CAUUUUAGUUUCCUCUGCGAAAACCAUGUCAAUCUUUUGUCAAAUUAUUACAUGGGCAGUAACAACACUCAAAUUCAGGGUGGAUUUGGGAUGAGU